GGUCCCGUAGUUCAGGCGGAUAGAACAGCAGUUUCCUAAACUGCGUGUCGGGGGUUCGAGUCCCUCCGGGACCGCAA
This 77-nucleotide transfer RNA is filed under the name Kapaibacterium sp. (SeqCode). RNAcentral describes it as "Candidatus Kapabacteria bacterium tRNA-Arg". It matches the Rfam family "tRNA". From Rfam's summary of the family: Transfer RNA (tRNA) molecules are approximately 80 nucleotides in length. The record is from RNAcentral. Lineage: Bacteria; Pseudomonadati; Bacteroidota; Eximiradiia; Eximiradiales; Kapaibacteriaceae (SeqCode).